Molecule: ribosomal RNA, 887 nt
Filed under: Paratylenchus neoamblycephalus
Lineage: Eukaryota; Metazoa; Nematoda; Chromadorea; Rhabditida; Tylenchulidae
Description: SSU rRNA
Rfam family: Eukaryotic small subunit ribosomal RNA
Source: RNAcentral
GCAUGUAUCAGUACACGCCUUCAUAAGGUGAAACCGCGAACGGCUCAUUAUAACAGCUAUAAUUUACUGGACCUUGAGCAGUUACUCGGAUAACUGUGGUAAUUCUAGAGCUAAUACGUGCACCGAAGCUGUCCCUCACGGGGCAGUGCAUUUAUUUGAGCAAAACCAGGCGACCUCGGUCGUUUCUGCUGACUCAGAAUAACUAAGCUGAUCGCAUGGGCUUGUCCCGGCGACGUGUCUUUCAAGUGUCUGCCUUAUCAACUUUCGAUGGUAGUGUACGUGACUACCAUGGUGUUGACGGGUAACGGGGGAUCAGGGUUCGACUCCGGAGAAGGGGCCUGAGAAAUGGCCACUACGUCUAAGGAUGGCAGCAGGCGCGCAAAUUACCCACUCUCGGUUCGAGGAGGUAGUGACGAAAAAUAACAAGGCCGUUCUCUUUGAGGCCGGCCAUUGGAAUGAGUACAACUCAAACCCUUUAACGAGUAUCAAUGAGAGGGCAAGUCUGGUGCCAGCAGCCGCGGUAAUUCCAGCUCUCAAAAUGCAUAGAACCAUUGCUGCGGUUAAAAAGCUCGUAGUUGGAUCUGUGCCGGCGACGUGGUCCGCCCUAACCGGCGGUACUGCGCUCGUCGGCUUUGGGCCGGUCUUCGGACGGUCGCCUUCACUGGUGGCCGCUCGUGGCUGGCUGGUUUACUUUGAGCAAAUCAGAGUGCUCAGCACAGGCGUCUCGCCGGAAUGUUCGUGCAUGGAAUAAUGGAAAAGGAUUUCGGUCCUCUUUUAUUGGUUUUGUGGACUGAGAUAAUGGUUAACAGAGACGGACGGGGGCAUUCGUAUUGCUGCGUGAGAGGUGAAAUUCUUGGACCGCAGCAGGACGGACUACAGCGAAAGCA